RNAcentral lists this ribosomal RNA (459 nucleotides) under uncultured bacterium. RNAcentral's name for it is "partial 16S ribosomal RNA". It matches the Rfam family "Bacterial small subunit ribosomal RNA", at positions 338 to 795 of the family's 1533-position model. The record is from RNAcentral.
CCUACGGGCGGCAGCAGUGAGGAAUAUUGGUCAAUGGCCGAGAGGCUGAACCAGCCAAGUCGCGGGAGGGAAGAAUGUCCUAUGGAUUGUAAACCUCUUUUGUCAGGGAGCAAAGUAACCCAAGUGUGGGGGUUGGAGAGUACCUGAAGAAAAAGCAUCGGCUAACUCCGUGCCAGCAGCCGCGGUAAUACGGAGGAUGAGAGCGUUAUCCGGAUUUAAUGGGUUUAAAGGGUGCGUAGGCGGGUUAUCAAGUCAGCGGUAAAAUCGGGGAGCUCAACUCCAUCCAGACGUUGAUACGUAUGAUCUUUAGUGGGCGAGAAGUAUGCGGAAUGCGGGGUGUAGCCGUGAAAUGCAUAGAUAUCACGCAGAACUCCGAUUGCGAAGGCAGCAUACCGGCGCCCGACUGACGCUGAAGCACGAAAGCGUGGGUAUCGAACAGGAUUAGAUACCCGAGUAGUC